Molecule: ribosomal RNA, 330 nt
Filed under: uncultured eukaryote
Lineage: Eukaryota
Description: partial 18S ribosomal RNA
Rfam family: Eukaryotic small subunit ribosomal RNA
Source: RNAcentral
CCCUUAGAUGUUCUGGGCCGCACGCGCGCUACACUGACGAAGUCAGCGAGCAUGUCCUACGCCGACAGGUGCGGGGAAUCUUGUCAAACUUCGUCGUGAUGGGAUUGAUUAUUGAAAUUCUUGAUCAUCAACGAGGAAUUCCUAGUAAGCGCAAGUCAGCAGCUUGCGUUGAUUACGUCCCUGCCCUUUGUACACACCGCCCGUCGCUACUACCGAUUGAAUGGUUUAGUGAGAUCUUCGGAUUGGCGCCACUGCGGCUCAGCAAUGGGCUCGGUGGAUGCCGAAAAGUUGAUCAAACUUGAUCAUUUAGAGGAAGUAAAAGUCGUAACA